AACAGCCCUUGCCCACCGCAGUUCCUCAUGUUGCCCUGCUGACAUCGGUAUGUAUACACACACACACGUGCACACAUGUGAACAUGGUUGCACAUAUGCUCCCCACGCAUACACACACGCUCAGCCCCUCCGCCUUCCAGAGGCAAGCGUCCGCCAGCCCAGCUUGGCUGCUUUCUUGCCAAACCCCGGGGUUCCCACUCGAGCACAGCGGUCUUGGCCUGGCCCCGAACAGGCCUCUGACGCCGAGGAGCCAGCCAGAAACCAGCGGUGGAGGCAGGAUUGACCAUGGGCACCAUGAAGGCAAAGCCAAGCAGGCCCUGCACGAGGCGGUGGAGAUGGACCGGGCCAUCGGGCAGGCAGGCAGCUUGACCUCCUCGGAAGACACUCUGACCGUGGUCACUGCGGACCAUUCCCACGUCUUCACCUUCGGUGGAUACACCCCCCGUGGCAACUCUAUCUUUGGUCUGGCCCCCAUGCUGAGUGACACAGACAAGAAGCCCUUCACUGCCAUCCUGUACGGCAAUGGGCCUGGCUACAAGGUGGUGGGCGGUGAGCGAGAGAAUGUCUCCAUGGUGGACUACGCUCACAACAACUACCAGGCGCAGUCUGCUGUGCCCCUGCGCCACGAGACCCACGGCGGGGAGGACGUGGCCGUCUUCUCCAAGGGCCCCAUGGCGCACCUGCUGCACGGCGUCCAUGAGCAGAACUACAUCCCCCACGUGAUGGCGUAUGCAGCCUGCAUCGGGGCCAACCUCGACCACUGUGCCUCUGCCAGCUCGGCAGGCAGCCUUGCUGCAGGCCCCCUGCUGCUCGCGCUGGCCCUCUUCCCCCUGAGCGUCCUGUUCUGAGGGCCCAGGGCCUGGGCACCCACAAGCCCGUGACAGAUGCCAACUUCCCACUCCCCAGUGCUGCCCACUGCCUGGCAGCCCACCCCUCAAGGGGCAGGGAGGUGGGGGUCUCCUCAGCCUCUGCAACUGCAAGAAAGGGGACCCAGGAAACCAAAGUCUGCCGCCCACCUCGCUCCCCUCUGGAAUCUUCCCCAAGGGCCAAACCCACUUCUGGCCUCCAGCCUUUGCUCCCUCCCCGCUGCCCUUUGGCCAACAGGGUAGAUUUCUCUUGGGCAGGCAGAGAGUACAGACUGCAGAAAUUCUCAAAGCCUCUUAUUUUUCUAGCAAACGUAUUUCUUCAGACCCAGAGGCCCUGAAGCCUCCAUGGAACAUUCUGGAUCUGACCGUCCCACUCUCAUCUCCUUCCCUCUGGAACCCCCCGGGCCCUACCAUGCUCAUGUCCCUGUCCCCAGGCCCAGCCCUCCUUCAGGGAAGAUGAGGUCUUUCUCCUCAGGACAAGGCCUUGCUCACUCACUCACUCCAAGGCCACCAGGGUCCCAGGAAGCCGUUGCCUGGGUGGCCAUCCUACCCCACGUGGCCCAGGCCGGGAAGAGCCACCUGGCAGGGCUCAUGCUCCUGGGCUCUGAACACACAUGCCAGCUCCUCUCUGAAGCGACUCUCCUGUUUGGAACGGCAAAAAUUUUUUUUUUCCUCUUUUUGGUGGUGGUUAAAAGGGAACACAAAACAUUUAAAUAAAACUUUCCAAAU
Molecule: small RNA, 1595 nt
Filed under: Pongo abelii (Sumatran orangutan)
Lineage: Eukaryota; Metazoa; Chordata; Mammalia; Primates; Hominidae
Description: processed transcript
Source: RNAcentral